Molecule: ribosomal RNA, 331 nt
Filed under: uncultured Chloroflexota bacterium
Lineage: Bacteria; Bacillati; Chloroflexota
Description: bacterial SSU rRNA
Rfam family: Bacterial small subunit ribosomal RNA
Source: RNAcentral
GGUGCUGCAUGGCUGUCGUCAGCUCGUGCCGUGAGGUGUUGGGUUAAGUCCCGCACGAGCGCAACCUCGUGCUAUGUUGAUUUCUCACUUAGCCAGACUGCCUUGUACAGCAAGGAGGAAGGUGGGAUGACGUCAAGUCAGCAUGGCCUUUAUGCCCUGGGCUACACACACGCUACAAUGGGUGGGUACAGAGGGUUGCCACGGAGCAAUCCGGAGCGAAUCCCUUAAAACCAUCCUCAGUUCGGAUUGUAGGCUGCAAUCGCCUGCAUGAAGCCGGAGCUGCUAGUAACCGCAGGUCAGCUAUACUGCGGUGAAUACGUUCUCGGGCCUU